CCUCCCUCAAGAGAAGACGAUCAUCCUUACCUUAUUUUCUCAUCUCAACCAUCUCUGUCAAACUUUCUAGUCCCCUUUAUCUUUUCUAUUCUACCCCUACUCUGCCCCUUUCAAUCUUUUCCCUCUUGUCAUCUCUAUCUUGCUCCUCGUUACCUAGUCAAAGCACCCUAUCUACCUCAUCUUACCAUACUUCUGACUCAUUCUUUUAUCUUUUCUUUCUCACCACUAUGUUUGCCUCCAUUUCUUAUAGGAGGGGCUAUCGGAAGAGGAAGGCUAUCCUCUUGGUUGCAACCCUCCACAUGCAAAUGAUAGAAAGGAAAAAAAAGGUGAAAAAAAGGUAAAGGGAGAUACAAGUUAAGGUCAGGGUCUCCUUGCAUAAGGUUACAGAGGGCAAGCAUA
RNAcentral lists this long non-coding RNA (399 nucleotides) under Elaeis guineensis (African oil palm). RNAcentral describes it as "long non-coding RNA (EGUI_LNC009068)". Lineage: Eukaryota; Viridiplantae; Streptophyta; Magnoliopsida; Arecales; Arecaceae. The record is from RNAcentral.